UCUGAAGGGGAGAGUGGCGAACGGGUGAGUAACACGUGGGUGACCUGCCUCGAAGACGGGGAUGCGACUGGAAACUGUGGCUAAUACCCGAUGGUCUCGAUAAUUCGGUCUAUCGAGUAAAGGCUCCGGCGCUUUGAGAGGGACCUGCGGCCCAUCAGCUAGUUGGUAGGGUAAUGGCCUACCAAGGCAAAGACGGGUACGGGGCGUGAGAGCGUGACCCCCCACACUGGCACUGUGACACGGGCCAGACUCCUACGGGAGGCAGCAGUGAGGAAUAUUGCGCAAUGAGCGAAAGCUAGACGCAGCAACGCCGCGUGGGUGAUGAAGGCCUUCGGGUCGUAAAACCCUUUUCUGGGGGAAGAGUAAGGACGGUACCCCAGGAAUAAGCCUCGGCUAACUAUGUGCCAGCAGCCGCGGUAAUACAUAGGAGGCAAGCGUCAUCCGGAUUCACUGGGCGUAAAGAGCGUUGAGGCGGCUUCGUAAGUUGUACGUGACAGCUCCCGGCUUACCUGGGAGAGGCCGUUCAAUACUAGCGGGGCUUGAGGACAUGCCAGAGGGGGGUGGAAUUUCCGGUGUAAGUGGUGAAAUGCGUAGAUAUCGGGAAGGAACAGCAGUGUCGAAUGCGGGCCCCUGGGCUAGCUCCUGACGCUGAAAGGCGAAAGCUAGGGUAGCGAACGGGAUUAGAAAAGCCCGGUAGUCCCUAGCCGGAAACGAUGGAUACUAGGUGUAGGAGCGUUAAAUUCCUUUUGUGCCGGAGCUUACGCGUUAAGUAUCCCGCCUGGGGAGUACGGUCACAAGGCUAAUACUCAAAGGAAUUGACGGGGGGCCCGCACAAGCAGAGGAACCGUGUGGUUUAAUUCGAUGCAACGCGAAGAACCUUACCAGGGCUUGACAUGUAGGUAGUAGUG
This 908-nucleotide ribosomal RNA is filed under the name uncultured organism. Its description in RNAcentral is "bacterial SSU rRNA". It matches the Rfam family "Bacterial small subunit ribosomal RNA", at positions 82 to 1000 of the family's 1533-position model. The record is from RNAcentral.